AAUAUUUGGCAAUGGAGGCAACUCUGACCCAGCCAUGCCGCGUGAAUGAUGAAGGCCUUCUGGGUUGUAAACUUCUUCUAUAUGGGACGAAAGGACUCUUGAGAGAGGAGUUGACGGUACCAUAUGAAUAAGCACCGGCUCACUCACUGCCAGCAGCCGCGGUAAUACGGAGGGUGCAAGCGUUGUCCGGAUUUAUGGGGUUUAAAGGGUGCGUAGGCGGCUUUAUAAGUCAGUGGUGAAAGACUGUGGCUCAACCAUAGAAUUGCCAUUGAUACUGUAGAGCUUGAGUAUAGUUGAGGUAGGCGGAAUUGACGGUGUAGCGGUGAAAUGCAUAGAUAUCGUCAGGAACACCGAUUGCGUAGGCAGCUUACUAAGCUAUAACUGACGCUGAGGCACGAAAGUGUGGGGAUCAAACA
Molecule: ribosomal RNA, 416 nt
Filed under: uncultured bacterium
Lineage: Bacteria
Description: partial 16S ribosomal RNA
Rfam family: Bacterial small subunit ribosomal RNA
Source: RNAcentral